Molecule: long non-coding RNA, 363 nt
Organism: Stomoxys calcitrans (stable fly)
Lineage: Eukaryota; Metazoa; Arthropoda; Insecta; Diptera; Muscidae
Exons: 2
Source: RefSeq, a predicted model, not a curated record
UUUUUUUUUUUUUUAUAUUUCCCCAGCGAAUAAGUCCCUUUCUUAGGUCUUGCAAAGAUUCUCCAAUGAUGCCGCUCUUCCUUCGUUCGUUCGUCUCGCAUUACAUCAUGCCAAGACGUUUGAUUGCUUCCGUUUACAUUUUUUCCGACAACAAUAUUUGCAGAACUGAAGCAAUCGGAAGAGUGAAGAAAUCAAAGUUUACAAACAUUCUAAACCCACCUGCCAUAAGAAACAACUCCCAGCAUUUAACUCCGUUUCAAUUACCUUUUAUGUUACAUAUAUGCGAUAUAAUUGAAAUGGGUUGGCCUUUGAAAUGCUCAUACAGUGAUGAAUAUUUCAUUUAAUCGUAUUUUUAUGAACAAA